GGAAGGAUCAUUACCGAACAAACAAUUCAAAGUUCGCUGCUUCGCUUCGGCGACAGCGAAUCAGUCAGCCUGCGCAACUUGAACAUGAAUGGUUGCCGACAGGCAAAGCGACUAGCUUCUGUCUUUCACGAGGCAGAAGCCGCGCUCAGGCUUAGGCCAUAAAUUUUGAAAACAGGCUUCGGCCAAAAAUUUUGAAAACAAGCAAUAAAAUGAUUACAAAGACGAAUUUAAACCUCGAGUGGUGGAUCACUAGGCUCGUGGGUCGAUGAAGAACGCAGCUAACUGCGUGCAAUAGUGUGAACUGCAGGACACAUGAGCAUUGACAUUUUGAACGCAUAUUGCGGCCUGGAAUAAAUUCCAGGCCACGUCUGAUUGAGGGUCGGAUUUUUGACUUAAACAAAGUUUGCUCAAUCGGCUGGUCUAUUAAGACCAGUUCAGCAAAUGCAUCACAUGACGCUUGUCCGCGGCGGUGCCGAAGCAUGAAAUUUCAGCUCGAGGCGCGCAGCCACGAACGUUAAAGCGAUGUUUUGCAAGAGUUUCGACUCUUUGUUACGACCUCAAGGCAGGCGAGAUUACCCGCUAAAUUUAAGCAUAUUAAUAAGCGGAGGAAAAGAAACUAACAAGGAUUUCCUUAGUAACGGCGAGCGAAAAGGAAUAAGUCCAGUGCUGAAUCUGGCACCCUCCGGGUGUCAUGAAAUGUGGCAUUAAGGACGAUACAUUCCCUGCGUUUUGAGUCUUUCAAGUCCCUCUUGAACGGGGCCAUCUACCCAUAGAAGGUGCGAGGCCUGUCGAAAGACUGUUGUACGCAGUGUGUUUUGUCCAUAGAGUCGGGUUGCUUGGGAGUGCAGCCCAAAUCAGGUGGUAAACUCCAUCUAAGACUAAAUAUGACCACGAGACCGAUAGCGAACAAGUACCGUGAGGGAAAGUUGAAAAGAACUUUGAAGAGAGAGUUAAAUAGUACGUGAAACCUCUCGAGGGUAAGCGGGCAGAACUUGCAAGUAUUGGUGGGAGACUCAGGCUCGAAGACGAUUGGCGUGGGGACGAGGUUAGGUUGAGCUUCGGCGAGACCGACUCGUUCCUGCGAUUUGUUGUCGACGCGCAGCACUUCUCCUUACCAUCCGGGCUACGUGCAACUAAGCUGGCAUUUUAGGUGUUUGGUGUCUGCAAAAUCACUUUUGUGGUUUUGAGCCCGAAUUUCCGAAUGUUGCUGUGGUUGUUGUUGAACGCGGGCAGGCGUUUGCCGCGGUCAGAGCUUUGGACGAAUCGGGUACGCGUAAUGUGUGGACCUUGUGUAGCAUAUUUCGCGUACUAAUUGUCAGUUCGAGGUUUUCUGGCCCUGCCCAUCUAUCGUAGCCUAAAACCUGCGUGAUCUGCCUGUCCCGUCUUGAAACACGGACCAAGGAGUCUAACAUGUACGCGAGUCAUUGGGAAAUGAAACUCAAAGGCGUAAUGAAAGUGAAGAUUCGUGUAUACGAAUUGAGGAGAGAUCAAGGCAUGACUUGAAAUACUGAAAAGUUUGGCGAGUUGUAUGUAUGCGCAUCUCCUGGACGUCUAUACCUCCGAAGGUGGGGCGUACCUAGAGCGUACACGUUGGGACCCGAAAGAUGGUGAACUAUGCCUGGUCAGAACGAAGCCAGGGGAAACCCUGGUGGAGGUUCGUAGCGAUUCUGACGUGCAAAUCGAUCGUCGGAACUGGGUAUAGGGGCGAAAGACUAAUCGAACCAUCUAGUAGCUGGUUCCUUC
This 1743-nucleotide unclassified non-coding RNA is filed under the name Collembola environmental sample. RNAcentral describes it as "sequence contains 18S rRNA gene, ITS1, 5.8S rRNA gene, ITS2, 28S rRNA gene". The stretch from base 553 to 1743 matches the Rfam family "Eukaryotic large subunit ribosomal RNA", at positions 1 to 961 of the family's 3401-position model. The record is from RNAcentral. Lineage: Eukaryota; Metazoa; Arthropoda; Collembola.